CAUGUAAAAUUACUUUAUUGAGAAUUUCGUGUCCACUUAAACCAGCCCAUGGUUCUUCGCCAAAUGUGUACAUUUCCCACAACGUAAUCCCAAACAUCCAGACAUCUGUCAAAUUCAAAUGAUAAAAAACGGAUUCAGGAGCACACCAGGGAAACGGCACUCGCCUUUGUUCAGUCAUGACGUAACUAUUAUAAAAUAGAAUAAUAUUAAUAAAAUAAUUUGAAUAAAUUCCAGUUAAUCAAAUCUGCUGACCAAUCCGAACCAGGAGGUAAAGGACGAAGAAGACCAAAGUCUCCAAUUUUGGCCUAAUAUGAAAUUAAAAAAAAAAAUAAAGAGAGACAGACAUUGAUUGCUUUCAAUAGUUGUACCUGGGUUUUAGAGGUAAGGAAAAUAUUACGACAGGCUAAAUCUCGAUGAAGCAGCCUACGAGAUUCAAGGAAAGCCAUUCCGGAAGCAAUCUUAAUACGUAGUUUAGAAAAUUAAAUAUAAUUAAAUCAAGGGUUAUUAAGUUUCACUGUUUUACCUCAGAUGCAAAUUGCCAAAGAGAGCAAAUAGAUGUAUGAGAGCACUCUUUGUGUAGAUAGUCCAGUAAACUGCCUAAUGGGGCAAGCUCUGUAACCAUCAUCAAGGGGUGUGAUAAUACAACCCCAUGUAACCUAAGGAUACCAGUCAUUUGAAUGCAAUCACAGAAUGUACGCAGAAAAGAGUUUAUACCGUAUGAGGCAUGGGUGCUGCAAGGAAUGCAUGGCUUCUACUUCUCUUACAAAAUCAUCAUAAACAGCUUGAUGCUGAACUAAGUCUUCUUUAAGUACUUUAACUGCAAUGAAUUAUAAUAGUAAAGUAUUUAAGUUAAAAUAUUUAUUUACUUUAACUGCAAUUUACCUGCAACAGGUAUUGUCACACCAUCAGAUCGAUUCCAUUCUCCUUUGUGCACAAUCCCAAAUGAUCCAUCACCAAGUUGUGUCCCAAUUUUCAGUUCCUAAAUAGUAAUACAAAUAUAAUGUACUGUCAAUCGGAAUAACAAUAAGGAAAAUAUCACUUACACUUUCUUUUAUCAAACAUGUUAGGCUACUAGAAUUUUGUUGUUGCUGAGUUCCUGUUAAUUUUUCUAAAUUCUUUGCAUCUUUGUUAGCACUUUGGUUUAUAAAGGUUUGUAUUAGUUUUUUCUUCAGUGUGCCUUUUCGUUUUUUUACUGUAUCCAGAAGCCUGCGUGCAGCUGGCUUUCCCAUGCCAAUACUCAUGAGGUCAUCUGUUGUAA
Molecule: long non-coding RNA, 1258 nt
Organism: Daphnia pulex (common water flea)
Lineage: Eukaryota; Metazoa; Arthropoda; Branchiopoda; Diplostraca; Daphniidae
Exons: 2
Source: RefSeq, a predicted model, not a curated record